CUACAUUUGGGGAACNAGANAAAGNGGUCAAACGGGUCANAGAGGAAAGUAAAAGUCGAAAACAAGGUUUCCGUAGGGAACNGGGGGAAAGGAAUUCAUAANGAAUUGGCUAAAUUGCACAACAUGNGUUUUUUCUUUGGAAACAAACUGGCUUUUGGCGGUGGGCCCUAGCGGGGCCGCCAGAGGUUCUAAACUUACAACCAAUUUUUAAUCAACUUGUCACACCAGAUUAUUAUUAAUAGUCAAAACUUUCAACAACGGAUCUCUUGGUUCUCGCAUCGAUGAAGAACGCAGCGAAAUGCGAUACGUAAUAUGAAUUGCAGAUAUUCGUGAAUCAUCGAAUCUUUGAACGCACAUUGCGCCCUCUGGUAUUCCGGAGGGCAUGCCUGUUUGAGCGUCGUUUCUCCCUCAAACCGCUGGGUUUGGUGUUGAGCAAUACGACUUGGGUUUGCUUGAAAGACGGUAGUGGUAAGGCGGGAUCGCUUUGACAAUGGCUUAGGUCUAACCAAAAACAUUGCUUGCGGCGGUAACGUCUACCACGUAUAUCUUCAAACUUGACCUCAAAUCAGGUCUCUC
Molecule: unclassified non-coding RNA, 576 nt
Filed under: Candida albicans
Lineage: Eukaryota; Fungi; Ascomycota; Pichiomycetes; Serinales; Debaryomycetaceae
Description: sequence contains 18S rRNA gene, ITS1, 5.8S rRNA gene, ITS2, 28S rRNA gene
Rfam family: 5.8S ribosomal RNA (bases 247-400)
Source: RNAcentral